RNAcentral lists this transfer RNA (66 nucleotides) under Vorticeros sp. n. MW-2019. Its description in RNAcentral is "tRNA-Pro". The record is from RNAcentral. Lineage: Eukaryota; Metazoa; Platyhelminthes; Prolecithophora; Plagiostomidae.
UUAAAAGUAGUUUAAAUAAGAAUAAUAAUUUUGGGGAUUAUAGGUUUAAUGUAAUUAACUUUUAAA